GUGUGUGUGUAAAUUGAAAAACCAGUUUUCAUUUUGAAGUUGGGAGUCGAUUUUUCUACAAGUCUCACACUUUUUCCUAGUGUCUUGAACAAUGUGUAAACCCCAAGCACUGCACCAACAGCACCUAAUGGUAAAAUGGGCCCGUUUGUGUAUCCCCAGGUCUCCAUAUGCCCAGGUGCAUGGUAUGCUCACUAUGAUACCACAGUGUGCUUCUGCUUCUAUUCUAAUGAGUCAUUCACUGCUUAAUUCUCUUCUAAGUUAAGAAAUCCAUGCAUGUGUCGUUGAGUGGUUUUGCUUUAAAGUUUAUAUAGGUCUGUGGUGGAAAAUUGUGCUUAUUAAUUUUAUGAAACUAUUAAGUUAAAAAAAAUACAUGAUACUUUAACUGAAAUUUGUGUUCUUACAUAUGAAGCAUCAUUAUUCUACUUUCUUCAUUGGUUGCUGCGACAGGAGAAACUGAAAAAUACGGCUUCUACCCACAUUCAAAAAGCAGAUCAAGACUCUACUGCUUUGUCUGUGGUUGCCCUAGAAUUCUCAAGAUACGUUUAUAAUUAAUCCAAGUCCAUGUUGGAAGAGCACCACACCACAGACAGUAUGGUUCCUUUUCCCCUCCCACUGCCGGAGCCCGAGGAGAUUUUUCUCAGAUACUCACCGUAGAAGCCUUGUCAAGAUCCUGGAGAUUGACUGACCCUGUGACUGAAUUUUGCAAUGAAUCCUUAUCAGAUUGUUAUACACCACUGCAAAUGGGCACCUUAAAAUUAGAUGGAAGAAACAGAAUAUGUUACCAGAGGAUGUGCUGACUGGAUAAAAAAUUCAGGAGUCUUGUGUCUUCUGUCAUCUAUGGGAUUAUAGUAGGCCAACUUGUUAACUUCAAAAUAGGAUAACAUCUCAUAUCCUUCCAGUAAGUGAAAACAGUGAGGUCCUCCAUCAAAGUUCCAGAUGAAAUGCUGCAACUUCCUCGAAGGAAUCAAUUUCUGCUUCUUCAUACAGGAAGAUGGUGUGGCGUACUGCUGGGCAAGUGCAGGCCUCGUAGGCCAGCGGGGUGCAGCCCAACACCCAUCAACGAAAUAAAGGUAAGCAAA
Molecule: long non-coding RNA, 1079 nt
Organism: Aethalodelphis obliquidens (Pacific white-sided dolphin)
Lineage: Eukaryota; Metazoa; Chordata; Mammalia; Artiodactyla; Delphinidae
Exons: 7
Source: RefSeq, a predicted model, not a curated record